CCUACGGGAGGCAGCAGUAGGGAAUCUUCCGCAAUGGACGAAAGUCUGACGGAGCAACGCCGCGUGAGCGAUGAAGGCCUUCGGGUCGUAAAGCUCUGUUGUUAGGGAAGAAUAAUGUGCCUAGUUGAAUAAGCUGGCCACCUUGACGGUACCUAACCAGAAAGCCACGGCUAACUACGUGCCAGCAGCCGCGGUAAUACGUAGGUGGCAAGCGUUGUCCGGAAUUAUUGGGCGUAAAGCGCGCGCAGGCGGUUUCUUAAGUCUGAUGUGAAAGCCCCCGCUCACCGGGGAGGGUCAUUGGAAACUGGGAAACUUGAGUGCAGAAGAGAAAGUGGAAUUCCAAGUGUAGCGGUGAAAUGCGUAGAGAUUUGGAGGAACACCAGUGGCGAAAGCGACUUUUCUGGUCUGUAACUGACGCUGAGGCGCGAAAGCGUGGGGAGCAACAGGAUUAGAUACCCUGGUAGUCCACGCUGUAAACGAUGAGUGCUAAGUGUUAGAGGGUUUCCGCCCUUUAGUGCUGAAGUUAACGCAUUAAGCACUCCGCCUGGGGAGUACGGUCGCAAGACUGAAACUCAAAGGACAGUGUGUACGCGAGAGGCCCGCACAAGUGGUGGAGCAUGUGGUUUAAUUCGAAGCAACGCGAAGAACCUUAC
Molecule: ribosomal RNA, 653 nt
Filed under: bacterium HZ35-7
Lineage: Bacteria
Description: bacterial SSU rRNA
Rfam family: Bacterial small subunit ribosomal RNA
Source: RNAcentral